CGUAGGUAACCUACCUCUUAGCGGGGGAUAACUAUUGGAAACGAUAGCUAGUACCGCAUAAAAGUCGGCAUUGCAUGAUGUUGACUUGAAAGGUGCAACUGCAUCACUAAGAGAUGGACCUGCGUUGUAUUAGCUAGUUGGUGAGGUAACGGCUCACCAAGGCGACGAUACAUAGCCGACCUGAGAGGGUGAUCGGCCACACUGGGACUGAGACACGGCCCAG
RNAcentral lists this ribosomal RNA (223 nucleotides) under uncultured bacterium. RNAcentral's name for it is "partial 16S ribosomal RNA". It matches the Rfam family "Bacterial small subunit ribosomal RNA", at positions 116 to 334 of the family's 1533-position model. The record is from RNAcentral.